AAAGAUUAAGCCAUGCAUGUCUAUGCACAAGCCGAAUAUGGUGAAGCCGCGAAUGGCUCACUACAACAGCCACUGUUUACUUGAUCUUGAUUAUCCUACUUGGAUAACUGUGGUAAUUCUAGAGCUAAUACACGCAAUAAAGCUCCGACCUUACGGGACGAGCGCAUUUAUUAGACCAAAACCAAUCGGGCUUCGGCCUGAACGGUGGUGACUCUGAAUAACUGAGCUGAUCGCAUGGUCUUUGUACCGGCGACGCAUCUUUCAAGUGUCUGCCUUAUCAACUUUCGAUGGUAGUUUAUGUGCCUACCAUGGUUGUUACGGGUAACGGAGAAUAAGGGUUCGACUCCGGAGAGGGAGCCUGAGAAACGGCUACCACAUCCAAGGAAGGCAGCAGGCGCGCAAAUUACCCACUCUCGGCACGAGGAGGUAGUGACGAAAAAUAACGAGGCGGUUCUCUAAGAGGCCCGCUAUCGGAAUGGGUACAAUUUAAACCCUUUAACGAGGACCUAUGAGAGGGCAAGUCUGGUGCCAGCAGCCGCGGUAAUUCCAGCUCUCAAGGUGUAUAUCGCCAUUGCUGCGGUUAAAAAGCUCGUAGUUGGAUCUGCGCCUUCGGACUCGGUCCGCCCAACGGGUGUGAACUGAGAUCCAAGGCUUAUACUGCUGGUUUUCCCUUGAUGCUCUUUACUGGGUGUCUUGGGUGGCUAGCGAGUUUACUUUGAAAAAAUUAGAGUGCUUAACACAGGCUAUCGCCUGAAUACUUGUGCAUGGAAUAAUAGAAUAAGACCACGGCUCUAUUUUAUUGGUUUUCGGAACUGUGAUAAUGGUUAAGAGGGACAGACGGGGGCAUUCGUAUCGCUGCGUGAGAGGUGAAAUUCUUGGACCGCAGCGAGACGCCCUACUGCGAAAGCAUUUGCCAAGAAUG
Molecule: ribosomal RNA, 922 nt
Filed under: Plectidae sp. PDL-2005
Lineage: Eukaryota; Metazoa; Nematoda; Chromadorea; Plectida; Plectidae
Description: SSU rRNA
Rfam family: Eukaryotic small subunit ribosomal RNA
Source: RNAcentral